This 253-nucleotide ribosomal RNA is filed under the name uncultured bacterium. RNAcentral describes it as "partial 16S ribosomal RNA". It matches the Rfam family "Bacterial small subunit ribosomal RNA", at positions 524 to 776 of the family's 1533-position model. The record is from RNAcentral.
GACGAACCGUGCGAACGUUGUUCGGAAUCACUGGGCUUAAAGGGCGCGUAGGCGGGCUGUCAAGUCCGGGGUGAAAUCCUCCAGCUCAACUGGAGAAUGGCCUCGGAUACUGAUGGUCUCGAGGAGGAUAGGGGCACACGGAACUGUGGGUGGAGCGGUGAAAUGCGUUGAUAUCCACAGGAACUCCGGUGGCGAAAGCGGUGUGCUGGAUCAUUUCUGACGCUGAUGCGCGAAAGCCAGGGGAGCAAACGGG